CUCCCGCGUAGCCUGCGGGCCCCUGGCGGCCCAGGGCAUGGGGCAGAGACGCCAUGCCGGCUGAUACACACGCCCGGAGGAGGUGAGGGAGGAAGCCACUUGAAAAUAAACAGGUGCGGCCGGCGGGGGACAGGGAAAGAGAUCACAGCGAAGACCCAGAAGAAACAAAAGGCAAGCGAAUGACUUUAUUUUACUGAAAAAAAAAAAACUUGAAUGAAGAGAGCCAAAGUACAUGGUGAUGUGAGUGUGAGUCAUGGAACUUGUUCUUUUUUCUGAAUAAUUAUUUCACUUAAGAAGACAUCCAGAUACAUCCAGAUAAUUUGACUAUUUGCCGACCUCUUGGAUGUACCAUAGAUUCUUAUGCAUUGGAUCCUUGAAGACUUAACGCUUCAGGAUGGCAUGCUGGGCACACAAGUUCACUUCCCCCUUGCAAAGCCACAUGACAUUUACGGUAAAGAAAUAAGGCAGAAAUAAAGCCAUGACACUACUGUGACCAGAAGGAAGGCCAUCCGAGAGAAAUAUACUUUUGUGAAGUUCUUGGCAAGAAGAAAGAGGAGAGGACCAGGCCGGGCGCGGUAGCUCACGCCUGUAGUCCCAGCACUUUGGGACAAGGCGGGUGGAUUACAAGGUCAGGAGAUCGAGACCAUCCUUGCUAACACGGUGAAACCCCGUCUCUACUAAAAGUACGAAAAAUUAGCCGGGCGUGGUGGUGGGCGCCUGUAGUCCCAGCUAUUGGGGAGGCUAAGGCAGGAGAAUGGCGUGAACCCAGGAGGUGGAGUUUGCAGUGAGCCGAGAUCAUGCCACUGCACUCCAGCCUGGGCAACACUGCAAGACUCCGUCUCAAAAAAAAAAAAAAAAGAAAAGAAAAGAUAAAUAAAAUUGAUAAUUUGACUAUUUGCCGACCUCUUGGAUGUACCAUAGAUUCUUAUGCAUUGGAUCCUUGAAGACUUACACUUCAGGAUGGCAUGCCAGGCACACAAGUUCACUUCCCCCUUGCGAAGCCACAUGACAUUUAUGGUAAAGAAAUAAGGCAGAAAUAAAGUCAUGACACUACUGUGACCAGUGCAGUGGCAUGACCAUAACUCACUGCAGCCUCAAAUUCCUGGGUUCAAGGGAUCCUCCUACCUCAGCCUACUAUGGAGUAGCUGAGACUACAGGCACGUGCCACCAUGCUUGUCUAAUUUUUUUUUUUAAGUACUGGUAGAGAUGGGUACCUUGCUUUGUUGCCCAGGCUAGUCUUAAACUCCAGGCCUCAAACCAUGCUCCCACCCCAGCCUCCUGAAGCACUAGGAUUACAGGCAUGAGCCACUGCAUCAAGCCCAAAAGAGGCUUCUUAUAAAAAAGGAACAACCAGAAAACAAGAAAGGGUUACUGGAAAUUAAAAAUAUGGCUAAAGUGCCUCGUUAGCUCAGUCGGUAGCGCUUCAGUCUCAUAAAAAUAUGGCUGCUAAAAAAUUUUACCUGUAACACAAACACUGAAAAAUGAAAUCAAGGAAAUCUACCAAAAUGAUGAGUAAAAAGAAAUAGAAAGUAUGAAACAAAAGUUACAAUCAGAGAAUCAAUAGAAGUCCUACACCCGCCUAACAGAACUGUCAGAAGAAAGCUGAAAAAAAAAUGUGCAGGAGAAAAUCAUUGAAUAAACCAUAGGUGAAGAACGGAUAAACAAAAUGUGGUAUAUACAUACAAUGAAAUAUUAUCCAGUCACAAAAAGGAAAGGAGCUACAUGCUACAACAUGGAUGAACCUUGACAACAUUAUGCUGAGUGAGAAAAACCACACACAAAGGCACAAAGGCCACAUAUUGUAUGAUUCCAUUUAUAUGAAAAGUCCAGAACAGGCAAAGCCAUAGAGACAGAGAGUAAAUUAGUGGUUUCCAGGGACUGGGGGAAAAGGGUAAUGAGUGAGUGAUUGCUAAUGGGUGUGGGAUUUCUUUUGGGGGUGAUGAAAAUGUUCUGAAGCUAGAUUGUGGUGAUGGUUGCACAGCUUUGUAAAUAUAAAAAAACCGUUUCUUUGUAUGCUUUAAAAGGGUGAAUUUUAUGGUGUGUGAAUUAUUUAUUUUUAACUAAAAAAAAAAAGUAGAAGAAAAUCUCCAGAACUGAAAAUAAAAAGAUUGAAGGUUCUAUAUGAAGCAGAGUAAAUAUAUAGAUACUCUCAAAUUCAUUCUUAUGGAAUUAAACACUAAAGAAGGGCAGGGAAAAAUGCUAAAGAGUGUCAAGAAAAAAGUUACAGAAAAAUUAAAAUAAAAUUGGCAUUGAACUUCUCAUUUGAAAUACCACCAGAAGAAAAUGGAACAAUGCCUUUUUCACAGUUCUGUAGGAAUAUGUUAUUGACCAAAUUAGGAUAGGAAAUCAGACACCUAGGAAAAUAAUAUCUUCUAAGAAAGUUUUUUUCAUUCAACAAUAGUAUAACUAAGAAGCUGAUGUCUUUGUGAUAUCAUGAAGAACACGUGUGUUUCUGUUUGCAACAAGAAAAAUGUAAGACAAUUAGCAAUUUUGGAUAAAAAAAUAGUUUCAAGAACCAGUGUGUAAAUAUGAACUAAAGUGUGGCAUGAUUUUGAAGAAAUUGAGUGUGAAGAAAGAGAAUCCAUUUGAUCUCAAUGCCUAGAACAUGCUUCUAUGACUAGUUUAGUGACAUAGGAUUACAUUCCAUUUUCUGGGGAUUAAACCGCUUAAUUCUGCAUUUAAUUAUAUAUAAUGUAGUAAAAAAUGUGAAAAGUGGCACUUAUUGAUUUAAAGCUAUAAAUGUAGCUGUAGAGGAAAUGUAAUACAUGUGGAGAAUAGUAGAAAAUAAAUUCUUUCAAAGUAGGGAAGGAAUAUAUACUGUCUAAAUAAUGUGUUCAGUAUAGAAGAAUAGGCAAAUUACCCUAAAUUACAGUCUAACCAUCAGAGGACUGAAACAGAAGCAAUUAAAAGUAGUUGCCUCUGAGGAGGAUACUGGGAGCUCGGAAUAAUACUUGUACUUGCUAUUUAACACCAUGAUAUAUUUUUCAACAUUUUGCUUUACCAUAUGCAUGUAUGACAUAAAUUUUUUUAUUAUACUUUAAGUUCUAGGUUAACUGUGCACAAAGUGCAGGUUUGUUACAUAGGUAUACACGUGCCAUGUUGGUUUGCUGCACCCAUCAACUCGUCAUUUACAUUAGGUAUUUCUCCUAAAGCUAUCACUCCCCCAGCCCUCCACCCAACAACAGGCUCCAGUGUGUGAUGUUCCCUGCCCUGUGUAUGACAUGAAUUUUUUUAAGAGAGAAAGAACAAUUUCCAGGCUUGCAAAUUGGCUGUAUCAUUAGAAAUACUUCCAGCAGCAGCAUACAGAAACCUUUACUAACAGUGGCUUGCAUCAUGACAUUUGUUAUUUGUUUAAAAAGUGAUCUAGAGGUAGGCAGAAGGAACUGACUGCAGUCGAUUUGGUGGCUUGACGACAUCAGCAAGGGCUCAGUUUCUUCCCAUCUGUCUGCUCUGCCACCCAAAGUUCUGGCUAUGGUCUCCACUCAAGAGCCCAACAUAGCUGCUGGCUCCAGGAACCAGUUUUCUCACAGCCACAUGCAGUCUCUGGAAGGAAAUUACAGAAAAAAAAAAGACUAACUUCCACAUGAUGAUCACCUUUUAUUUUCUUUUCUGGAAGCCACCAUCCCUUCCUCCUCCAACCCAUUCAGCUCCUUUCCAUCCUUCUCUUGCAUUUCAUUGGCCGGAAUUAGGUCACUUCCUCACCUCUGAACCAAUCACAGGGAAUUUAGUUCACCGGAACGGAAGCAGAUCUAUCAUAUCUCAUCAUCUGGAGCUGAGCACAUUGCUCCCUGAACAAAAUUGGUGUUCUUAAUAAAGAAGAAGAGGGCAUUGACUGUUAGGUAGGCAAUAACUGGGUCUACCAGGCUGACUGACUGAUUAACCAGCUACCAUCCCUUAUGAGGAGACAAUUGCCAGCCUGUCUAUCAGAGUCACAAAGCCUGGAAUCUCUCACAACAAAAGGCUAUACAAUUCUGAGGCCUUGGUCCUAUGUUAAUUUAAUGUGGAUUAAUCUUUUGAGAUAAAACCAUUUAGUCAUGUGUUGGCAUCUGCAAAUUAACACUGGCUUCUGGGGAGAAACUCUGGAGAAAAAAAAAAUCACAUCACUGCAUUUUUCAAAGGUUCAACAUCAAAAAUUUAUCAAGUGUAAAAACCCAGUCUGUUUGAUACUGUUAAAAUGAUUAAUAUUACAAAUAGCUGCUAGAAACAAGGCACAUCUGACAACCUGAAGGACUGGAAGGAGAGGCAAACAUUUUCCUUUCUGAAGUAGGAAAAGUUAGUUUCAUCAUUUGCAUUUUCCCUCCCUCAUAUCAUUUUAUGUCUCUGGCACAUUUCCUAAAUCAAAGACUUUCCUGGGGAUUCUAUUUAUCAGACAGGUAUUGGCUUGCUUUUCAGCAGCCCUAUCAUAGUUGAUUUACUAAUAUAUCCUAUAGACUUUCUGCACAAUCUAUACUGCUAAAGCCCAUAGUGCCUCAUAAUUCCCACCUAUUUUAAGUGAAAGACUUAAUGUGUAGAUGGGAUCUGACAUAUGAGUGCUGCUCACCAGUUCACUGUCAGCAGGUCUGAAUAAUUAGCACCAGCAGCUCUUCUUUGCAGAUAUCAAUACCUUAUAUCAUAAAUGUCAAGCAUAGCACAAAGAUGCAACUGGAAAACCUCCGAAGGGAAGGGAGCCCAUAAAUCAUGAAGGUUUCACUCUAUUUUUCUUCCAUUUUACUAUCAGAGAAUAAACCCAGGGUGGUGAGAUUUAAAAUCCUGCCCGCCUCUUAUUUAUUACUUAGCAUGGGGCCUUUCCUGAAGCUGGACCCUGGAGGAAGGGCUGAUGGGAAGGAGACACCUCAGCCGGGGAGGGAUAAUGAUGCAUUCAGGGGUGAGGGGUAAGUGGAAAACAAAACGUCUCAGCAGCACUCCCGGACAGUUCUGUGCCCCUUACCCGUGUGGCUGUGUUGUGUACAUUUGGGACUUAGAGGCUGGGAGAUUGUACAGUACAGGCUAUUGGAGGGGUUGCUUAUAAAAAAUCAUAACCCCCUGCCCUACUCAGUGAAGAAAAUAAUCUCUUUUAUGGUUGGAGAACAAGUGUGAGAAUGAAUGUUGUAAUGUAAUGUUCAUAAAUUUUAAUGAACAUGCUGAGGACGCCAGGCCCUAAGUAAACACCUCAUUCAAACUAGGCCCUAGCUCUGCAGUUAGCAAGGCCACAUCCAACCUCACCUCCAACAGUAGGUAUCACUCUUCUAACUGCAAUUUAAUUUAAUUUAGAGAUGAGGAAGUCUGUACUUCUGAAAAAAACAAAAGCAAAAAACUAUUCUAUCCUAAGAACUUUGGCACUUUGGCUAUUAGAAGGUUCCCACUAUAUUUAGCUGAGGUUGGUUUCUCUGAAACUCCUUUUGGUUCAUCCUACUUCCCCUUCUAGGGUCCCAUGGGGAUAAUUCUACCUUUGUUGUUGUUGUUGUUGUUGUUGUCGUUUUUGAGACAGGAUCUCACUCUGUCUCCCAGGCUGGAAUGCAGUGGCACAAUUAGGGCUCACUGCAGCCUCAACCUCCUAGGUUCAAUCAGUCCUCCCACCUCAGGUUCCUAAGUAGCUGAGACUACAAGUGGGUGCCACCACACCUGGCUAUUUUUUUUUUAAUUUGGGGUUUGAGGGUACAUGUGAAGUUUUGUUACAUAGAUAAACAUGUGUCACAGGGGUUUGUUGUACAUGUUAUUACAUCACCUAGUUAUUAAGCUUAGUACCCAAUAGUUAUCUUUUCUGCUCCUCUCCUUCCUCCCACCCUUCUCCCUCUGAUAGGCCCCAGUGUCUGUCAUUUCCUUCUUCAUGUGCAUAAGUUCUUAUCACUUAGCUCCCACUUAUAAGUGAGAACAUGCAGUAUUUAAUUUUCUAUUCCUGUGUUAGUUUGCUAAGGAUGAUAGCCUCCAGCUCUAUCCAUGUUCCCACAAAAGAUAUGAUCUCAUUUUUUUUAUGGCUGCGUAAUAUUCCAUGGUAUAUAUGUACCACAUUUUCUUGUCCGGUCUGUCAUUGAUGGGCAUUUAGGUUGAUUCCAUAUCUUUGCUGUUGUGAAUAGUGUUGCAAUGAACAUUUGCAUGCAUGUGUCUUUAUGGUAAAAUGUGUUAUAUUCAUCUGGGUAUAUAUCUGGAGGACUUGCUGGGUCAAAUGGUAGUUCUGCUUUUAGCUCUUUGAGGAAUUGCCAUACUGCUUUCCACGUGGCUGAACUAAUUUACACUCCCACUGAAAAUUUAUAAGAGUUCCCUUUUCUCCACAACCUUGCCAGUGCCAGCAUCUGUUGUUUUUGUUUUUGUUUUUGACUUUUUAUUAAUAGCCAUUCUGACUAGUGUGAGAUGGUAUCUCAUUAUGGUUUUGACUUGCAUUUCUCUAAUGAUCAGUGAUAUUGAGCUUUUUUUAAUAUGCUUGUUGGCCACAUGUAUGUCGUCUUUUGAGAAGUGUCUCUUCAUGUCCUUUGCCCAGUUUUUAAUGGGGUUGUUUGUUUUUCUCUUGUACAUUUGUUUAAGUUCCUUAUAUAUGAUACUAGACCUUUGUCAGAUGCAUAGUUUGCAAAUAUUUUCUCCCAUUCUGUAGGUUGUCUAUGCACUCUAAUAAUAGUUUCUUUUGCUGUGCAGAAGCUCUUUAGUUUAAGUAGGUCCCAUUUGUCAAUUUUUGCUUUUGUCGUGAUUGCUUUUAGUGUCUUUGUCAUGAAAUCUUUGCCUGUUUCUAGGUCCAGGAUGGUAUUGCCUAGGUUGUCUUCCGCGUUUUUAUAGUUUUGGGUUUUACAUUUAAGUCUUUAAUCCUUCUUGAGUUGAUUUUUGUACGUGGUGUAAAGAAGGGGUCCAGUUUCAAUCCUUUGCAUAUGGAGAGCCAAUUAUCCCUGCACCAUUUAUAAAAUAGGGUAUAUUUUCCCAUUGCUUUUUUUGGUCAGCUUUGUCAAAGAUCAGAUGGUUGUAGAAGUGUGGCCUCAUUUCUGGGCUCUCUAUUCUGUUGCAUUGGUCUAUGUGCCUGUUUUUGUACCAGUACCAUGAUGUUUUGGUCACUGUAGCCUUGUAGUAUAGUUUGCAGUUGGGUGAUGUGAUGCCUCCAGCUUUGUUCUCUUUGCUUAGGAUUGUCUUGGCUAUUCAGGCUCUUUUUUGGUUCCAUAUAAAUUUUUAAAUAAUUUUUUCUAGUUCUGUGAUGAAUGUUUUGGUAGUUUGAUAGGAAUAGCAUUGAAUCUGUAAAUUGUUUUGGGCAGUAUGGCCAUUUUAAUGAUUCUGAUUCUUCCUAUCCAUGAGCAUGGGAUGUUUUUUCCAUUUGUUUGUGCCUUCUCUGAGUUUUUUGAGCAGUGUUUUGUAAUUCUCAUUGUAGACAUCCUUGACCUCCCUGGUUAGGUGUAUUCCUAGGUAUUUUAUUUUUUAUGUGUAGCAAUUGUGAAUAGGAUUUUGAUUUCUGAUUUGUCUCUCAGUUUCGUUGUUGUUGGUAUAUAGGAAUGCUUGUGAUUUUUGUACAUUGAUUUUGUAUCCUGUAACUUUGCUGAAGUUGCUUAUCAGCUGAAGGAGCUUUUGGGUCAAGACUGUGGGGUUUUCUAGAUAUAGAAUCAUGCCAUCUGCAAACAGAGAUAGUUUGACUUCCUCUCUUCCUAAUUGAAUACACCUUAUUUCUUUCUCUUGCCUGAUUGCUCUGGCUAGGAUUUCCAAAACUGUAUUGAAUAGGAGUAGGGAGAGAGGGCAUCCUUGUCUUGUGCCACUUUUCAAGGGGAAUGCUUCCAGCUUUUGCCCAUUCAUUAUAAUGUUGGCUGUGGGUUUGUCAUAGAUGGCUCUUAUUAUUUUGAGGUAUGUUCCUUUAAUACCUAGUUUAUUGAGAGUUUUUAACAUGAAGAGAUGUUGAAUUUUAUCAAAAGCCUUUUUAUAUCUAUUGAGAUAAUCAUAUGGUAUUUGUCUUUAGUUCUGUUUAUGUGAUGAAUCAUAUUAAUUGAUUUUCAUAUGUUGAGCCAUCCCAGGGAUGAAGCCUACUUGAUCGUGGUGGAUUAGCUUUUUGAUGUGCUGCUGGAUUUCGUUUGCCAGUAUUUUAGUAUAUGUGCUGCCAAACUGAGCACAUUUGCCAGUAUUUUGUUGAAGAUUUUUGCAUCAAUGUUCAUCAAGGAUAUUGGUCUAACGUUUUCUGUUUUUGUUAUGUCUAUGCCAGGUUUUGGUAUCAAGAUGAUGCUGGCCUCAAAGAAUGAGUUGGGGAGAAGUCUCUCCUCCUCAAUUUUUUGGAAUAGUUUCUGUAGGAAUGGUAUCAGCUCUUAUUUGUACAUCUGGUAGAAUUCAUCUGUGAAUCCAUCAGGUCCUGGGCUUUUGUUGUUGGUGGUGGUGGUAAGCUAUUUAUUACUGAUUCAAUUUCGGAGCUUGUUAUUGGUCUGUUCAGGGAAUCCAUUUCUUUCUGGCUCAGUCUUAGGAGGGUUAAUUUCUGUGUAUCUUCUUUUUCUUCUGGAAUUCCUUAGUGUAAUUGAAAGCUGCUGCCUCAGACCUCCUGCACAGCAAGCUGACCAACCCUAGGCUCUUUCAGCAUUCAUCAUGUGACAAAAUUUCAGUCCCUCCUCUCAGUAAAGCACUGACUACCUGGCCCUCUUAAAGUAAAUUCACCCAAACAACAAGUAAAAUACAAUAGCAACAACAACAAUAAUAAUGCUUAUUAAUUUUUCAGCACUUACUGUGUGCCAGGUACUCUGCUAGGUGCUUUAUUUUUUAUCAUCUUAUUUCAUUCUUACAAAAACACUAUACAGUAGCUGUUUUUAUACCCCCAAUUUACAGAUGAAGAAACUAAAAUUCAAAAACAUAAGGUGCUACCUUUACAUGGUCCAUAUGAGGCACAGUCAGGAUUGACUAGGGCUGAAGUUCUUAGCCCCUGCACCAUCACCUGGAGCCAGAACUAUCACUUCCCUACUUUUACGAAUAUGAGGAAGGACUGAAUUUACUCUUUUUAUUGGCUCUUAGGGAUUUUUUUCCCAAAUCUGUAUCUUCAGCCUACACCUCUGUCUUGGGUUCUAGAUUUUUAUAUCCAACUGCCUACUGGACACCAACCACGUGGACAAGUCCUGGUUGCCUCAAACUCAACAUGUUCAAAGCUGAAUACAUCACCUGCUCUCCCAAAUAUGCUCCUCUCCUGCUGUUCCCAAAAUCAGAAAAUGGCUUCACGAUCAGCUCAGUCAUCUCAAGAGCAAAUGCUGAGAGUCACCCUUGAAUCCUUCUGUUGCCUCCACAUUCAAACCAUCACCAUAUCCUUGAUUUCUCUACUGUAUAUUUUUCAUAUGUGUCCACUUCUUUCCAUCUGCACUCUCAUUAGUGAAGGCCACCAACAUCUCUCAUCUGAAUGCCUGCAAUACCUCCUCACAGGUCACCAGGCAUCUAGUUUUGCCCCUGUCCUGCCCUUCCCUCAUCUAGAGUGAAGCCAGUAGGAACCUUCCAAAAUGAAAAUCUGAUUAAGUCACUUCUUUGCUUAAAACUUUUUUAUGGUUUCACAGCCCAUGAAAAUAGUAUCCAAUGUCUUUAAGUGCAUUGCAAAACUCUUCAAGGCCUCCCUCUCCAAUCCUUCUAGUCCUCCCUCCCCAGUUUCAUCACUCAUUAUAUACCCCAUAACCUUUAUGCCAGAGUUGUCAUGAACCUCCUCCCAUUCCUUCAGUAUUUUAUGUCUUUUUGCCUUCAGGUCUUUACACAUGUUGUUCCUUCAUAUUGAAAUAUUCUUUCCUCUCCCCAUUGCCUGGUAGAUUAACUCCUGUUUAUCCUUCAGAUGUCAGCCUUAAUGUCACUCUCUCAAGGUGAACAUCCCUGAAUUCUCUGAUGCAUUACAUAGGAUACCGUUUUUAUUCUGCCAUUGUAUGUGUCACCCUUUAUUGUUAAGAAACAUUUAAAUAAGAAAUAUUUAAUUGUUAAUAAACAGUUUUAAAUAAAAAAUAUUUAUUU
Molecule: long non-coding RNA, 9894 nt
Filed under: Homo sapiens (human)
Lineage: Eukaryota; Metazoa; Chordata; Mammalia; Primates; Hominidae
Description: non-protein coding lnc-C5orf63-1:8
Source: RNAcentral